This 494-nucleotide ribosomal RNA is filed under the name uncultured bacterium. Its description in RNAcentral is "bacterial SSU rRNA". It matches the Rfam family "Bacterial small subunit ribosomal RNA", at positions 36 to 521 of the family's 1533-position model. The record is from RNAcentral.
CUGGCGGCAGCCUAACAAUGCAAGUCGAGCGGAAACGAAGAGGUGCUUGCACCUCUGGCGUCGAGCGGCGGACGGGUGAGUAAUGCUUGGGAAUAUGCCUUAUGGUGGGGGACAACAGUUGGAAACGACUGCUAAUACCGCAUGAUGUCUACGGACCAAAGUGGGGGACCUUCGGGCCUCACGCCAUAAGAUUAGCCCAAGUGGGAUUAGCUAGUUGGUGAGGUAAUGGCUCACCAAGGCGACGAUCCCUAGCUGGUUUGAGAGGAUGAUCAGCCACACUGGGACUGAGACACGGCCCAGACUCCUACGGGAGGCAGCAGUGGGGAAUAUUGCACAAUGGGCGCAAGCCUGAUGCAGCCAUGCCGCGUGUGUGAAGAAGGCCUUCGGGUUGUAAAGCACUUUCAGUAAGGAGGAAAGGUUAAGUGUUAAUAGCACUUAGCUGUGACGUUACUUACAGAAGAAGCACCGGCUAACUCCGUGCCAGCAGCCGCGGU